UACGUAGGUGGCAAGCGUUGUCCGGAUUUACUGGGCGUAAAGAGCUCGUAGGCGGUGUGUCACGUCGGCCGUGAAAACCUGCAGCUUAACUGUGGGCGUGCGGUCGAUACGGGCAUCACUGGAGUUCGGCAGGGGAGACUGGAAUUCCUGGUGUAGCGGUGAAAUGCGCAGAUAUCAGGAGGAACACCGGUGGCGAAGGCGGGUCUCUGGGCCGAUACUGACGCUGAGGAGCGAAAGCGUGGGGAGCAAACAGG
Molecule: ribosomal RNA, 254 nt
Filed under: uncultured bacterium
Lineage: Bacteria
Description: partial 16S ribosomal RNA
Rfam family: Bacterial small subunit ribosomal RNA
Source: RNAcentral